CUCGUCUCUGUGUGUUUAUCCGGUUGAGGACUGAAGACUCGAGAUCUCCUCAUCCUAUUGCCACUGACAUUAUGCCAGUCCUCAAGCCUGGGUCACCCCUCCACCAAUCACCUUCUCUGCUCUUCGUUUGGUGAAGCUGAACACCACUACAGUUAGAUGUUUUUGCCUCCUACCUUAAUGAGAAAAAGAAGGUUUCUUCAUCUCCCCUACUCCAUAUCCAUACAUAUGAAACCAUGAUCUCUGCUUUUACUUCAGUCUCUGAGGAAGAAUUCGUUUUUCCAGGGGGCAUGUGGAACCAGCUCAAACACCCUCUCAAGAACUGAUUGGCAGGUUUUCGGUGUGAACAUUUACACAAUAA
Vombatus ursinus (common wombat) is the source of this 358-nucleotide long non-coding RNA. RefSeq lists it as uncharacterized. The record is from RefSeq and is a predicted model, not a curated record. The transcript has 3 exons. NCBI's taxonomy places the organism in Eukaryota, Metazoa, Chordata, Mammalia, Diprotodontia, Vombatidae.